RNAcentral lists this ribosomal RNA (258 nucleotides) under uncultured bacterium. Its description in RNAcentral is "partial small subunit ribosomal RNA". It matches the Rfam family "Bacterial small subunit ribosomal RNA", at positions 26 to 285 of the family's 1533-position model. The record is from RNAcentral.
AGGACGAACGCUGGCGGCGUGCUUAACACAUGCAAGUCGAACGAGGCCCUACCUUCGGGUAGGUGACCUAGUGGCGAACGGGUGAGUAACACGUGGGCAACCUACCCUCAGCUCUGGGAUAACACCGGGAAACCGGUGCUAAUACCGGAUAUGACCUGGAACGACAUCGUUCUUGGUGGAAAGUUUUUCGGCUGAGGAUGGGCCCGCGGCCUAUCAGCUUGUUGGUGGGGUAAUGGCCCACCAAGGCGACGACGGGUA